This 198-nucleotide ribosomal RNA is filed under the name uncultured bacterium. RNAcentral describes it as "partial 16S ribosomal RNA". It matches the Rfam family "Bacterial small subunit ribosomal RNA", at positions 328 to 539 of the family's 1533-position model. The record is from RNAcentral.
ACGCUCGACACCUACGGGAGGCAGCAGUGGGGAAUAUUGCACAAUGGGGGAAACCCUGAUGCAGCGACGCCGCGUGAAGGAUGAAGUAUUUCGGUAUGUAAACUUCUAUCAGCAGGGAAGAAAGUGACGGUACCUGACUAAGAAGCCCCGGCUAACUACGUUCCAGCAGCCGCGGUAAUCUGAGCGGGCUGGCAAGGC